This 253-nucleotide ribosomal RNA is filed under the name uncultured bacterium. Its description in RNAcentral is "partial 16S ribosomal RNA". It matches the Rfam family "Bacterial small subunit ribosomal RNA", at positions 524 to 776 of the family's 1533-position model. The record is from RNAcentral.
UACGUAGGGGGCUAGCGUUGUCCGGAAUCAUUGGGCGUAAAGAGCGUGUAGGCGGCUCGGUAAGUCCGCUGUGAAAGUCCAGGGCUCAACCCUGGAAUGCCGGUGGAAACUGUCGAGCUAGAGUCCGGAAGAGGCGAGUGGAAUUCCUGGUGUAGCGGUGAAAUGCGCAGAUAUCAGGAGGAACACCAAUGGCGAAGGCAGCUCGCUGGGACGGUACUGACGCUGGGACGCGAAAGCGUGGGGAGCAAACAGG